RNAcentral lists this ribosomal RNA (699 nucleotides) under uncultured Staphylococcus sp. RNAcentral describes it as "bacterial SSU rRNA". It matches the Rfam family "Bacterial small subunit ribosomal RNA", at positions 56 to 737 of the family's 1533-position model. Lineage: Bacteria; Bacillati; Bacillota; Bacilli; Caryophanales; Staphylococcaceae. The record is from RNAcentral.
UGCAAGUCGAGCGAACGGACGAGAAGCUUGCUUCUCUGAUGUUAGCGGCGGACGGGUGAGUAACACGUGGAUAACCUACCUAUAAGACUGGGAUAACUUCGGGAAACCGGAGCUAAUACCGGAUAAUAUUUUGAACCGCAUGGUUCAAAAGUGAAAGACGGUCUUGCUGUCACUUAUAGAUGGAUCCGCGCUGCAUUAGCUAGUUGGUAAGGUAACGGCUUACCAAGGCAACGAUGCAUAGCCGACCUGAGAGGGUGAUCGGCCACACUGGAACUGAGACACGGUCCAGACUCCUACGGGAGGCAGCAGUAGGGAAUCUUCCGCAAUGGGCGAAAGCCUGACGGAGCAACGCCGCGUGAGUGAUGAAGGUCUUCGGAUCGUAAAACUCUGUUAUUAGGGAAGAACAUAUGUGUAAGUAACUGUGCACAUCUUGACGGUACCUAAUCAGAAAGCCACGGCUAACUACGUGCCAGCAGCCGCGGUAAUACGUAGGUGGCAAGCGUUAUCCGGAAUUAUUGGGCGUAAAGCGCGCGUAGGCGGUUUUUUAAGUCUGAUGUGAAAGCCCACGGCUCAACCGUGGAGGGUCAUUGGAAACUGGAAAACUUGAGUGCAGAAGAGGAAAGUGGAAUUCCAUGUGUAGCGGUGAAAUGCGCAGAGAUAUGGAGGAACACCAGUGGCGAAGGCGACUUUCUGGUCUGU